Molecule: transfer RNA, 72 nt
Filed under: Camelus bactrianus (Bactrian camel)
Lineage: Eukaryota; Metazoa; Chordata; Mammalia; Artiodactyla; Camelidae
Also listed under: 2 other names
Rfam family: tRNA
About the family: Transfer RNA (tRNA) molecules are approximately 80 nucleotides in length. Their secondary structure includes four short double-helical elements and three loops (D, anti-codon, and T loops). Further hydrogen bonds mediate the characteristic L-shaped molecular structure. tRNAs have two regions of fundamental functional importance: the anti-codon, which is responsible for specific mRNA codon recognition, and the 3' end, to which the tRNAs corresponding amino acid is attached (by aminoacyl-tRNA synthetases). tRNAs cope with the degeneracy of the genetic code in two manners: having more than one tRNA (with a specific anti-codon) for a particular amino acid; and 'wobble' base-pairing, i.e. permitting non-standard base-pairing at the 3rd anti-codon position.
Source: Rfam by way of RNAcentral
CAAGGUAUAGCUUAGUGGUAGAGUGUGUGCUUAGCAUGCAUGAGGUCCUGGGUUCAAUACCUAGUACUUCCA